CAACCUCUGCAUGUUUUCCGAGCCAUUAGUAAACAUCCAAUAACGAAGUUGGCCACUGAUACUGGAUUGAAAGAGAUAGGUGUUCCAUCGUAUAAAGGCUUAUCGAGGUUCAGGCCAAUGUACAGACUGAGUCUCAAUUUCAACUUGUUCUUGGAGGUAGCUUAAGUUUUGUCGACGAGUUUACUUCGGGAGGGAGAAAUGUAUUCAGAAUCAACGCUAAAUAAUCAAGCUGUUGCUACCAGAAGGGCACAACGCUAUGAAAUUCAUCGAAAGGUGGUAAGCACAUAAAUGGAGCAAGGAGGUCUUAUACGAAAAUGGUACACGAAUGAUGUAAACUAUCAAAUAGCGGAAACUGAAGUGUUGCGGAGUGGCAAUCAGAGGGUUAUAUAUCGGGUCCUUAAAGGUAAAAGCGUAUUGUCGUAGUCGAACAAGAUUUUCACUUAGAGCUUGGAGUCUAAAACGUGUUACGGAAUUCUAAUCCAUAUUCUGAAAACAUUGAAAUUGAGCAAAAAUGGAUUCCCUAUAAAUUGACUUCAGGUCAGUUGUAAAAGUCCAUGGUUUAUAACACAUAAAAUCUGCAGAACUUUAAUAAACAAAAAACCCGCCUGGAGCGUACGAUCGACGAGCCGCGGCUGGAUGUCUACCGCCAGUCAAAAAGGAUCUAGGCGAAUAAAUGGCGUCGCCCUGGAGAGAAAUCCAGGUUGGUGGCAACGUCAAAUAGUUCGGAGCAAUGUCGGGCGUAGAGUAACGAUAGUACUUGCAAUGGAUAUCAGGGACGUCUGUUACGAUACUCGCCGAAACACAACAAAAAAUGAAACAAUGAAUACGGUCCGCUAUCUCGAGUUUUUCAAAGACCAUAUGCACUGUUGGCAUAGUAAUCGAAAACUUGCAGAUUACUUACGUCACGCCUCAAUUACUUCGUAAAUUGAGCGAAGGAAUAUCUAACGUGUGCUUCAUCCCUUUCAUACAUCUAAGU
This is a long non-coding RNA of Varroa destructor (honeybee mite), 976 nucleotides long. RefSeq lists it as uncharacterized. The record is from RefSeq and is a predicted model, not a curated record. Lineage: Eukaryota; Metazoa; Arthropoda; Arachnida; Mesostigmata; Varroidae.